Hibiscus syriacus is the source of this 333-nucleotide long non-coding RNA. RefSeq lists it as uncharacterized. The record is from RefSeq and is a predicted model, not a curated record. The transcript is spliced from 4 exons. Lineage: Eukaryota; Viridiplantae; Streptophyta; Magnoliopsida; Malvales; Malvaceae.
UUGGAAUUUCAGAUGGUCAUGGUUCAACAGUAAAUAAGUUGCCUUUAGCAAAUGAAGCGACCUUGUGUAAAUGCUACAGGAGAGAUGGUUAAUUACUAUGAAGGCAGACUUGUACCUCAAGAUUACAAUGGUGGCUCUAAGGUCAUACAUUCGCACAAGAACUGCAGUGAAUGAAGUCGAAAAAUAAAAUGCUCCUGUUGCGAACUCAAAGGUGCAUCGUUUGGCUGUUUCGAAAAGAGUUGUCGUAAGAGUUUCCAUGUUCCCUGUGCAAAAUUAGUCUCACAAUGUCGGUGGGAUACUGAUAACUUUGUAAUGUUGUGCCCUCUCCAUGCU